Molecule: ribosomal RNA, 119 nt
Filed under: Pteropus vampyrus (large flying fox)
Lineage: Eukaryota; Metazoa; Chordata; Mammalia; Chiroptera; Pteropodidae
Source: RNAcentral
GUCUAUGGCCAUGCCACCCUGAACGUGCCAGAUCUCAUCUGAUCUUGGAACCUAAGCAGGGUCAGGCCUGGUCAGUACUUGGAUGAGAGACCACCUAGGAAGACCAGGUGCUGUAGGGG